Molecule: long non-coding RNA, 1985 nt
Filed under: Oryctolagus cuniculus (rabbit)
Lineage: Eukaryota; Metazoa; Chordata; Mammalia; Lagomorpha; Leporidae
Description: lncRNA (ENSOCUG00000037436.1)
Source: RNAcentral
CCUCCCUGCCCCCACCCUGCCUGCAGGAAAGCAAGGUGCUCAGGGCUGCUGGGACUGCUUCAGCUUUCUCGCUGCCAGGGGAGCCCAGGCUGGGGGGAGGGGGCCGUGUGCGCAGGGGAGGAGGGGUGGAGAGGCAGCCCUGAGGAGGGGUGCUGUCCUUUUGCCUUAGGAAGGCAGAGUUAAGGCUUGUACCUCCACCCUUGAAUGUUGGUCUCCCUAGAGUCUGUGACCUGGCAUUCUGGAGCCUUCCAUCGUUCAUUCACUUCCAGCGUGGCUAGUCUAGAGUCCUCAUCUUGGUCGCCCUGGACGAGUGUCCCAACUGCCCACGCUUGCACACGGGCGAAGCCCCUAGAGGGCAAUGGCCACCUUUCCGUAUCCUACCCUCUGGCCCCAUCUCCGCCCGGCCAGCGCCGGGACCUCUGGCUCUCGCCACCCACAGCUGCAGGCGAGGCGGGCGCGCCGGUCGGGAGCCUCCUCUACGCGCUGCUCUUGCAGACACUCUGGGCCCGCUCGCGCUCCCGGUCCUCCGGGCCUUCUCCCGCGUCGCGCACGAAGCCCCGGGCCAGCCCCGCCGCGCGCCCUGGGCUUCGGGCCCGGGCCGCGCCCCCCUUCCGCGGCCCUCUCGCCAGGCUCCAGCUGCGCGCGGAGCAGUCCCCGGCUCGGCUCCAGCUCCUCAAUGGCCCUGCUCCCCCAUUACCCUGAUGUCGGCCCCUCUCCCCCUCGGCUUUAUCGGCUCUCAGCCGGCUCCGCCAGGCAUCCCAGGAUGGGAGAGAUCCGCGCAGAAGCGACCCCCAGAGACAUGAUGAAGACACUCAGCGGGCUGGGCCACAACUCCGAAGACCCAGAAACUCAGGAUCCCAGAAACCCAGCCAGAAAGCCCGGAGCCGAUAGAAAGUGGAAGCAGCAGAGCCGGAAAGAGAGGGGGUGGGUGUCUCUGAUGCCCACUCAGCGUGCAGAACCACCUGCAAGGUAUGUAUGUGUGUGAAUGCACAUAUCUUGUGUUUUGCGUGCUCAUUUAUUUAGCAUCAUGUAUGUGAGAGCGUGCAUGUCAGUGUCUUUACUGUCAUGGGUAUCUGUGCAUUCAUGAGUGCAUGUGACAAGCAUUUGUGUCAUGUGUACAAUUAUACUCCCCAGUGUUUAUCUUUGUGCUUGCCUUUUGUAAGCGUGUGUCUGUGUAUAUGCACAUCCUUGUCCAUCAUGUAUGUAAUUCUGUGUGUGUGAUGUAUGUCCGUAUAGGAUUCAGGUUCCAAGUCACGUGCGUGCCUUGUCUGGAUGCCGCCAGGAGUGUGUGUAUCUCUGCAGGCAUGCCUAUGCAUGUGCGUAUCAUCUGUGUAAUUAUUCGAUGCGAGUGGGAGCAUGUGUGUGUGUUCCUGCUCCAUGGGGGAUGACAGGCAGUUGGGAAGACGCUGAGCCCGUUUUAUCUGAGGUUAACAGGGGUCACACUUCACUCCUGGAAGUCCCUCACCCUCCUCCCCACCCUACACAAUUAAGCCUCAGUGUGGUGGAAAGACAGCCAGCACACAUUAAGAAAGGUCAACAAUAUUAUCAGCUCCUAAUCCAAUUAGUUACUGUUUAUUUGGGAAUCCGGCUCUAGGUCAGCUUCCAGGGAGAAGGCCUGGGAGAGAGAAGCUGCAAGAAACCACAGAAGGUGGCCAGGGCUGCGAGGGAGGGGAGAGGGCCAUCCUCAAGGCAGGGGCUGGGCAUGCCGCCUCCUCCGGGAAGGUGGGCGCUCUGGGAAGGGGUCCGUGUUGCAGAGCAGGGGUUGAAGUCUGAGGUUGCAUCUCCAGCUUGGGGUGCUGCCUCUCUCAUCCUGAGACAUCCUGCCUGUGUCCAGCCCCAGCAUCCUUACGGGGUGUCUGGGAGCGGGAUGGCUGCGUUGGGCUGCAGCUGGCUUCCCCUGGGAUAGCAGAGGCAGAGGAGGACUUGUUGAUCAACGGGCUGUUAGCUUUGGAAGCCACUCAUUACUCCCACCCUCUAUUUUAUCA